UUUUGAAUGUAUUGUCUCUGAGUAUGGACAACAUUGUUUUGCUGCUUAUGAGGGGUACUAUUUUAGAUCGUUGUCCUGCAUAGGAGAUGUGGUAUGUUGUAAGAAAAUGUUAUUGUUGUUGUAGCAUAAUCAGUGUCGACCCCGACAUUUGGGUUGCCCUAAUCCGAUAUAUGAAAGAAAAAAAAAUCAAAAAAAAAUGUUGCAUAAUCAUACUUGAAAACGAAAAAAAAAUGUUCACUAUCCCUAUAUGAAAAGAAAUGUUGCAUAAUCAUACUUGAAAACGAAAAAAAAAUGUUCACUAUCCCUAUGUGAAAAGAAAGUAUAAAUAUCAAAAUGAUGUGACAGUGACUCUUCUAUAAAUGAAAACAUCGUCUGGUAUAUUCUGUUUCCAAAUUUUUUUU
RNAcentral lists this long non-coding RNA (401 nucleotides) under Actinidia chinensis (golden kiwifruit). Its description in RNAcentral is "long non-coding RNA (ACHI_LNC002647)". Lineage: Eukaryota; Viridiplantae; Streptophyta; Magnoliopsida; Ericales; Actinidiaceae. The record is from RNAcentral.